Molecule: long non-coding RNA, 608 nt
Organism: Carassius auratus (goldfish)
Lineage: Eukaryota; Metazoa; Chordata; Actinopteri; Cypriniformes; Cyprinidae
Exons: 4
Source: RefSeq, a predicted model, not a curated record
CUGGACACCAUCUUCAGAGUGAGGAAUGAAACUGCAGUGACUCCAAACUCAGGUGAGUUUCAGCUGAUAAACGUCUGAUUAUUCACAGAUCUGAUUCACACUCACUCUUUUCUCUCAUAUUGACUCAUAUUUAUCAUCACUGUGUGUUUGUUGAAUGAAGCAUCUCUCCAGCACUCAGAUCAGCUGUGGUGGCUUCUGGCUGUUUCCAUCAUCAUUGUUCUGCUAUUUCUCUGUUUCUUGCUGCGUAAAAGCAUCUUCAGGACACUGAUGAAGGUCAGAUCUGAUGAUCCUCAUGCAGUGCAGGAAUCUGAGCAGUUCAACGCUCCUGAGAUUAAGGUUUAAUCAACAUCAUGUCUGCUCAAAGCUGAUUUCCAGAACCUUCACCGUCUCUGUUCCUCUCUGUUCAAACCAACACGACUGAUGCUGAACACAUCUGAACCAGUCCACACCAUGAAACACCAAGACCCUCACCACAGACAACUGUUGUGUGUUUCUUCUGCUCGCUUUCUUUGAUCUGGCUUUGAAAUCAACCUGUCAGUUUAAAGGGGGGGUGAAAUGCUCAUUUUCACUCAAUAUCCUGUUAAUCUUGAGUACCUAUAGAGUAGUAC